Molecule: ribosomal RNA, 499 nt
Filed under: uncultured bacterium
Lineage: Bacteria
Description: partial 16S ribosomal RNA
Rfam family: Bacterial small subunit ribosomal RNA
Source: RNAcentral
GAUGAACGCUAGCGGCAGGCCUAAUACAUGCAAGUCGAGGGGCAGCAGGAAUAGCAAUAUUCGCUGGCGACCGGCGCACGGGUGCGUAACACGUAUACAAUCUGCCUUUAACAGGGGGAUAGCCCGGAGAAAUCCGGAUUAAUACCCCAUAACAGUGAUCUUGGCAUCAAGGACACUUAAAAGCUCCGGCGGUUAAAGAUGAGUAUGCGUCUGAUUAGCUAGUUGGUGAGGUAAGGGCUCACCAAGGCGACGAUCAGUAGGGGAUCUGAGAGGAUUAACCCCCACACGGAUACUGGGACACGGAUCCGACUCCUACGGGAGGCAGCAGUAAGGAAUAUUGGACAAUGCCCGGAAGGGUGAUCCAGCCAUGCCGCGUGCAGGAAGACGGCCCUAUGGGUUGUAAACUGCUUUUACACCGGAGAAAACCCCACUACGUGUAGUGGGCUGAUAGUAUGGUGAGAAUAAGCAUCGGCUAACUUCGUGCCAGCAGCCGCCGUAA